GACGAACGCUGGCGGCGUGCCUAAUACAUGCAAGUUGAGCGCUGAAGGAUGGUACUUGUACCAACUGGAUGAGCAGCGAACGGGUGAGUAACGCGUGGGGAAUCUGCCUUUGAGCGGGGGACAACAUUUGGAAACGAAUGCUAAUACCGCAUAAAAACUUUAAACACAAGUUUUAAGUUUGAAAGAUGCAAUUGCAUCACUCAAAGAUGAUCCCGCGUUGUAUUAGCUAGUUGGUGAGGUAAAGGCUCACCAAGGCGAUGAUACAUAGCCGACCUGAGAGGGUGAUCGGCCACAUUGGGACUGAGACACGGCCCAAACUCCUACGGGAGGCAGCAGUAGGGAAUCUUCGGAAAUGGACGAAAGUCUGACCGAGCAACGCCGCGUGAGUGAAGAAGGUUUUCGGAUCGUAAAACUCUGUUGGUAGAGAAGAACGUUGGUGAGAGUGGAAAGCUCAUCAAGUGACGGUAACUACCCAGAAAGGGACGGCUAACUACGUG
Molecule: ribosomal RNA, 497 nt
Filed under: uncultured bacterium
Lineage: Bacteria
Description: partial 16S ribosomal RNA
Rfam family: Bacterial small subunit ribosomal RNA
Source: RNAcentral